UAUUUUGUUGGAGAUUCCUGCAUGUCUGAGACUUUCUGGAGUAGGGGCAAUCAGAAUCAGAGCGUGCCUCUGGGUCGCCGUGGGAGCUUCUGGUGCACUGGAAAACUGAACGGAAAAGGGCAAACAGGACAAGAGAAAACCUGUGUGAAAGUAUAACAACAGACAUCACCUUCUACGUUAAUUUGAUUAGUGACAAACCUUCAAGAUUUGAUUUUAUUUAACUUCAUUCACACAAAUUUUGUCUUUGCUUACUAAGGUGAAGUAAUCAAGUUUGGCACAGCACAGAUGUGAUGGAAAAAACAGUAUUAACUUACAGAUGAAUAAGACCUCAUGGCAGCCUACAGCUCCUCGUGCCCCUCCCUCAGUGGAGGGGCAGCACUGAGCUCUGCUUUCUGGUGACAGCAACAGGACCCCAAGGAAUGGCAUGGAGCUGUGUCAGGGGAAGGGCAGGUGGGGUUUAGAGAAAGCUUCUGCACCAGAGGGCGGUGGGUGCAGCCCCAAGCUGCUGGCGUUCAAGGAGCAUUUGGAGCGCUUUCAGACAUAGGGUUAAAUUUUGUGUGGUGCUGUGUGGAGCCAGUAGUUGGACCCAAUUCUCUGUCAGCUGGAGGAGAGGAUAUUCUGCACAGAAGCAUUACAGAGACCUCAUUGAAUCCAAAAAACACGAGAGAGCAAAGAUUGGGGAAUUUGGAAAGCUCUUGCAAGUAUUUACAGUGUCACUCAAGUAUAUACCAGAUGUGUGCCUUUACACGCUGAACAUUUUUUUCAAUGCUUCAAUUUGCCUUAAAAACAAAGCAACCAAUGGUGGAACUUUCUAAAAGGUGUUCAACAGCUUUUGAAUAUGAAGCCCCUUAAAGUACUUUGAAAGCAGACCCUGCUCCCUUUGAAAAUCUUAGUUUCUUUAGAAAGUCUCAUCUGCUCAGCACCCACCUGCAUGAUCAUCAACACCAGCAUGAGGUGCAAGGAGAGGUGCAAGGCCCAGAGUUCCUCGGGUGCUUCAUGUGGGCAGCUGAUUCCCCUGUGCAGCGUGUGGGAAAAGUCAGGCACCUAAACCAGCCAACAGAAAGUGGUCGGUGGGGCUCAGACUUUCCUGCUCUUCAGACUCCUACAUUGACAUUAUGUAUACAUUUAUAUACAAAAUGAGG
Molecule: long non-coding RNA, 1142 nt
Organism: Numida meleagris (helmeted guineafowl)
Lineage: Eukaryota; Metazoa; Chordata; Aves; Galliformes; Numididae
Exons: 2
Source: RefSeq, a predicted model, not a curated record